Mauremys mutica (yellowpond turtle) is the source of this 760-nucleotide long non-coding RNA. RefSeq lists it as uncharacterized. NCBI's taxonomy places the organism in Eukaryota, Metazoa, Chordata, Testudines, Geoemydidae. The record is from RefSeq and is a predicted model, not a curated record. The transcript has 4 exons.
UCUCUCUCUCUAUGAUACUGUAUGGGCGGCAGCCCCCCAAAAUAUUCCCAAGGGGCCUGUGGUGGCCCCCCUCCUUCCUACCCCUUUGUGCCCUCCUUCCUCACCCCGGCAUGCCCCCUAUCGCCCUUGCACCCAAUCCCACCCCUCUUACCUUUCACUCCUGGCCCCGGGCUGGGGGGAGGAAUCCGAGGGUCUGAAACCAAAGGGAAAGUCAAGGGAAGCCCCUAAAACAAAAAGUGAAACUUCUGCCGAGCUCCCGCAGCCGGGCUGGUGCCUCCCCCUCUGCCCCCGGGCUCCCGGGCUUUGCCCAGAGCGCUGCAGGCUGACGUCAAGGGCCCAAAUUCCUGACUUUCCCCGAAGGCAGAUUUGUCCAUGUAAGGAAUGUAAGCAGUUGUGCGCAAAGCCAGGCAUGUGCUUAAAUCUUUGCAGGAUUUGGGGCCUCAGUUUUUUACACGGAGAGACACAUUCAACUUAAAGCAGCAAGAUGAACAGUCACAGCUUGUUGGAAGAACAACAAAAAAAGCACCAGAAUUCCUACGUUGGCUCUGGAAAACAUUGGAUGUGUUGUCAGCGGAGAAAAUUACCUAUUUCCCUUGGACUCUGGCUGAGGCACCUCCUGAGAACAGCCCUGCAUGCUGGGUUACUCGGACAUUGUUUCCUUUGGGAGAAUCUGUCUGUCAAGAACCGCUGGGACAUCCCUUUUAAAGCCUAACACCGUCACAUGUUCUUUGCCUGGGGGAUUGUUAUAACGGAUACACCG